Molecule: non-coding RNA, 372 nt
Organism: Pelobates cultripes (western spadefoot toad)
Lineage: Eukaryota; Metazoa; Chordata; Amphibia; Anura; Pelobatidae
Source: the annotation of a GenBank genome assembly
CCUACCUUCCUGAAAAAUCAUAAAAAUACUAAGACACAAUAAAACACAUUAUUCCUGAAAUCCUCAUUUUUCUUCGACCGUGCGAUGGCCUCUCAGCUUCCCGAUUGUGAGGGCUGCAAGGAUGUUGUUCUUCUGAUCCUCACUUUCCUUCACAGAGAUCCCUUCAAGAUACUCUGGCUAUGACACGUAGGCAGGUGGUCAGGCUUUAUUAUGGCCGUCAAAACACCUACUUGAUGAUCUUUGUAGACUUUUAACUAGAAUGUCUCAAUAUCCCCUCGUCACUCCGACUAAGUUGCACGCUUCAACCGGGUCCUGCAAGGAUUCUCAGGAUCUGGAGUAGCUUGCCAAGAGUCUGCUGCUGGUUUAACCUUA